UAUUCUCAUCUUAAUUCGUUCUAAAUUUUGCACAUGUACUAGCUUAUACUUUAUUUUUUCCAUUUGGUCUUUGUCUACCUGCAUUUGCUUAUACUGUUUACAUCUGUUUUGCUUUGGGGAGUUUAUUGCAUGCCUACUUGUUGUCUUGCAUUGAGGAUUGGCAAUUGCGGGACAAUAUUCAUAGAAACUUAUUUAAAAUAUUUUCUUGUGGCCAGAAAUUCUUAUCCUAGAAUAAUUUUUUACUUUAACUCACAUUUCGUAGUAUUUCAGCACUGUCAUUAUUGAGGAAGAAUUUGUUGUCAUCUUUCCAAUAAAAGUUUCAUGUUUGCAUUUCAUUUUGAUGUACUUAACAAAUUUUGUUGCUGGGGAGUAAUAGAGGUAAUUCCGGUUGUCUGAUUCAAGUUUUCAAAUUUCUAUCAAGUUAUCAUGGUUGAAUAAGGAUU
This 443-nucleotide unclassified non-coding RNA is filed under the name Hevea brasiliensis (rubber tree). Lineage: Eukaryota; Viridiplantae; Streptophyta; Magnoliopsida; Malpighiales; Euphorbiaceae. The record is from RNAcentral.